Molecule: long non-coding RNA, 1425 nt
Organism: Pogoniulus pusillus (Red-fronted tinkerbird)
Lineage: Eukaryota; Metazoa; Chordata; Aves; Piciformes; Lybiidae
Exons: 2
Source: RefSeq, a predicted model, not a curated record
CUGGAGUCUCAGCUACAUCUAUGGCUGCUGGGCACAAAACAGUUUCUCCAGCACUGCAGAAAUGCAACUGUGAAGAGAAAUAGUCCAUCUGUGUUACCAUGCACGAAGAAGAGUUUUAUACACUGCAGCUGCCUGUCAGACUCUGACCCCAUCUGUAUCUAAAGAUGAAUGGUUUGACUACUAGCUGAAUAUCAUGGACAUAUUGAGACUCACUGAGGAAUGAUGCCUGUGAUCAGUAAAGCCAGCUGCAUCUCACAGAAGACAGAACAAAUAGCUGAUGUCACUAAGCCAUCAAUGUGAUCCCCACUUGUAAAUACCACUGGUCAAUCUCUUCCAAGUUGCAGCUGUGCAACCACUUCCAUUUGAACCAAGAUUUGCUGCUGAAACAGGGAAUCAUUUUCAUCACAUUAUUUUACAUACAUAUACCUCAGCUUUUUUCACAGCAGUAAUAUAAAAGGUGAAGGGCCUAAGGGAGGAUGUAGGAGGGCUGGCAUUCAGCAGAAUUCCCCAGAUUUCCCUUUUGGCAGAUGUGCUUCAAGUUCACUGAUGUAUUUACCCCAGUACUCAACAAGGACUAUGUAACUUACACAGCAGCAGCUUAAGCUAACAAUAUUGGCAGUGUCCCCACACCAAUUUUGUGUGAACUCACAAAAACACACACAGGGGAUACAAUGGCUUGAGCUGUGACUCUUCCUUUUUUCAUUGUUUCUGUUAUGUGGUUUAGGGAACAUCUUUUCAACAUUCUUCACAUGCUCCCCUUCCCACCAUCCCAAGAAAGGGGAGUGACAUUUAGUCCUCCAACCAUGAAGUUGUGAAAUGAAUUCCACACAACACCAGUGGAGGAAAAUUCCUCUUCUGAAAGCAGCCACAAGCUCUGAACACCAAGAUUACAUUAUGUCAUGCAAGCUGGCAUCAAUUCCAUCCUAAAGUCCAGCUCUGUGUUUUUUUUCACAACACCACCAUGUAAGACUUUCCUGAUGAUUGCUCAAAUUAACCAAUACAAUUACCUGCUUAACAAAUCCCCUCCACCAUCCCACUAACCUCUGAGGGAAAACUACACGGGCAGAAGAGCUCUGACCUCAGAUUAUCUGUAUCAAAAAGGUGAGAUUUAAAGUUUUCCAUUUCCUGUGGACAAAGAGGUGAAGAAAUCCUCAGUUACUCAUGUCAGAGAGCCACAAGUUUCUACUGUCUCUGGAUCAAGACAGAUUGGCAUUGCCACUUAGUUUGGCACUCCCUGACAGGACCUCUCUCAGAUUUUCUUUUCAACUAAUUCACACCUGCUCCAAGUCCCACAAAUAGGAUUUCAACAGCUCACUUGAAUAGGUUGAACUAGAUGCAAAACCACAGCUGAUCAGCAUCCUGGGCACCACUGCCAUCAUUUAGAGUUACACAGAUCACCUCACAAUGGCACUUUCAGCAGUUUCA